RNAcentral lists this transfer RNA (72 nucleotides) under Camelus bactrianus (Bactrian camel). It matches the Rfam family "tRNA". Rfam says of the family: Transfer RNA (tRNA) molecules are approximately 80 nucleotides in length. Their secondary structure includes four short double-helical elements and three loops (D, anti-codon, and T loops). Further hydrogen bonds mediate the characteristic L-shaped molecular structure. tRNAs have two regions of fundamental functional importance: the anti-codon, which is responsible for specific mRNA codon recognition, and the 3' end, to which the tRNAs corresponding amino acid is attached (by aminoacyl-tRNA synthetases). tRNAs cope with the degeneracy of the genetic code in two manners: having more than one tRNA (with a specific anti-codon) for a particular amino acid; and 'wobble' base-pairing, i.e. permitting non-standard base-pairing at the 3rd anti-codon position. Lineage: Eukaryota; Metazoa; Chordata; Mammalia; Artiodactyla; Camelidae. RNAcentral also lists the same sequence under 2 other names. The record is from Rfam by way of RNAcentral.
GUAUAUAUAGCUCAGUGGUAGAGUGCCUGCUUAGCAUGCAUGAGGUCCUGAGUUCAAUUCCCAGUAUCUUCA